RNAcentral lists this ribosomal RNA (396 nucleotides) under uncultured bacterium. RNAcentral describes it as "bacterial SSU rRNA". It matches the Rfam family "Bacterial small subunit ribosomal RNA", at positions 86 to 484 of the family's 1533-position model. The record is from RNAcentral.
CGCUGACGAGCGGCGGACGGGUGAGUAAUGCAUAGGAAUCUGCCCGAUAGUGGGGGAUAACCUGGGGAAACCCAGGCUAAUACCGCAUACGUCCUACGGGAGAAAGGGGGCUUCGGCUCCCGCUAUCGGAUGAGCCUAUGUCGGAUUAGCUAGUUGGUGAGGUAAAGGCUCACCAAGGCGACGAUCCGUAGCUGGUCUGAGAGGAUGAUCAGCCACAUCGGGACUGAGACACGGCCCGAACUCCUACGGGAGGCAGCAGUGGGGAAUAUUGGACAAUGGGGGGAACCCUGAUCCAGCCAUGCCGCGUGUGUGAAGAAGGCCCUCGGGUUGUAAAGCACUUUCAGUGAGGAAGAACGCCUGGUGGUUAAUACCCAUCAGGAAAGACAUCACUCACAG